This 190-nucleotide ribosomal RNA is filed under the name uncultured bacterium. RNAcentral describes it as "partial 16S ribosomal RNA". It matches the Rfam family "Bacterial small subunit ribosomal RNA", at positions 1311 to 1500 of the family's 1533-position model. The record is from RNAcentral.
CUCGCCUGCAUGAAGUCGGAAUUGCUAGUAAUCGCAGAUCAGCAUGCUGCGGUGAAUACGUUCCCGGGCCUUGUACACACCGCCCGUCACACCAUGGGAGUCGGUAACACCCGAAGUCGGUAGUCUAACCGAAAGGAGGACGCCGCCGAAGGUGGGAUUGAUGACUGGGGUGAAGUCGUAACAAGGUAUC